AUACAGAGGAUGCGAGCGUUAAUCGGAAUUACUGGGCGUAAAGCGCGCGUAGGCGGUCUAUUAAGUCAGAUGUGAAAUCCCAGGGCUCAACCUUGGAACUGCAUCUGAUACUGGUAAGCUAGAGUUUUGGAGAGGGAAGUAGAAUUUCAGGUGUAGCGGUGAAAUGCAUAGAGAUCUGAAGGAAUACCAGUGGCGAAGGCGACUUCCUGGCCAAAAACUGACGCUGAGGUGCGAAAGCGUGGGUAGCAAACGGGAUUAGAUACCCUAGUAGUCC
RNAcentral lists this ribosomal RNA (274 nucleotides) under uncultured bacterium. RNAcentral describes it as "partial 16S ribosomal RNA". It matches the Rfam family "Bacterial small subunit ribosomal RNA", at positions 523 to 796 of the family's 1533-position model. The record is from RNAcentral.